This 84-nucleotide transfer RNA is filed under the name Desulfurispira natronophila. RNAcentral's name for it is "tRNA-Leu". It matches the Rfam family "tRNA". From Rfam's summary of the family: Transfer RNA (tRNA) molecules are approximately 80 nucleotides in length. Their secondary structure includes four short double-helical elements and three loops (D, anti-codon, and T loops). Lineage: Bacteria; Pseudomonadati; Chrysiogenota; Chrysiogenia; Chrysiogenales; Chrysiogenaceae. The record is from RNAcentral.
GCGAGAAUGGCGGAACUGGCAGACGCACUAGACUUAGGAUCUAGCGCCUUUGGCGUGGGGGUUCGACUCCCCCUUCUCGCACCA